GCCGGGUGCAGUGGUGCGUGCCUGUAGUCCCAGCUACUCAGGAGGCUGAGGUGGGAGUAUCGCUUGAGCCCAGGAGUUCUGGGCUGUAAUGCACUAUGCCGAUCGGGUGUCCGCACUAAGUUCGGCAUCUAUUUGAUGACCUCCCGGGAGCGGGGGACCACCAGGUUGCCUAAGGUGGGGUGAACUGGCCCAGGUCGGAAACGGAGCAGGUCAAAACUCCCGUGCUGAUCAGUAGUGGGAUUGUGCCUGUGAAUAGCCACUGCACUCUAGCCUGGGCAAUGUAGCAAGACCCUGCCUCU
Molecule: signal recognition particle RNA, 299 nt
Filed under: Aotus nancymaae (Ma's night monkey)
Lineage: Eukaryota; Metazoa; Chordata; Mammalia; Primates; Aotidae
Description: Metazoan signal recognition particle RNA (ENSANAG00000009680.1)
Rfam family: Metazoan signal recognition particle RNA
About the family: The signal recognition particle (SRP) is a universally conserved ribonucleoprotein. It is involved in the co-translational targeting of proteins to membranes. The eukaryotic SRP consists of a 300-nucleotide 7S RNA and six proteins: SRPs 72, 68, 54, 19, 14, and 9.
Source: RNAcentral